This 423-nucleotide unclassified non-coding RNA is filed under the name soil metagenome. Its description in RNAcentral is "partial contains 5.8S ribosomal RNA, internal transcribed spacer 2, and large subunit ribosomal RNA". The stretch from base 1 to 121 matches the Rfam family "5.8S ribosomal RNA", at positions 35 to 154 of the family's 154-position model. The record is from RNAcentral.
GAUGAAGAACGUAGCGAAAUGCGAUAGGUAGUGUGAAUUGCAGAUGUAACGUGAAUCAUCGAAUCUUUGAACGCAAAUUGCACUCUCUGGUAUUCCGGGGAAUAUGCCUGUUUGAGGGUCGUCUAAAUAAACAUCGAUUUUAUUGCUUAUUUUUUUAUAUAAAAAGUAAAUAUUAUCGGAUUUGAGCUUUUCUUUAUAUAUAAUUUUUGUAUAAAGUAGCUUAAAAUUUUUUUUUGGUAUCAAAAAGCGUAUUUUAUAUAGUCAAUUCUGAUUAAAAAACGCUUGAAUUUUUGUAUACCACCAUCAUGUAAUACGUUUGACUUGUCAUUUUUAAGUUCAUUCGUAUACGAAGUUUUUUUCAAUUUUAGACCUCAAAUCAGGUAAGAAUACCCGCUGAACUUAAGCAUAUCAAUAAGCGGAGGA